UUGUUUUUCAGGAAAACAUUUUCUAGAAAAAUAUUUUCCUUCAUACCAAACACACCCUGAGAGAAAAAAGAGGAACAUGUGGAAGAAGGUACAAUUUGUCAACAGUUUCUGAGAUAUCAGCUUGGUGGUUGGUGAUUUUGAAGCAAUCAGUUCUGACAUAUAUAUAAUAAUUGAAAGUCAUUCUGAUCAAUUUAAUAGAAUAAGCGAAUUAAAUGCAGCAUACUUAUGUUUGCAAUGUCCAUUACUUUUUUCAUUUGGUGAAGAUGGAUAUAGAGAAGAUAUUCCUUUAAGUGGAAUUGAUUAAUCAUCUAAUGGAAGGAAAUAUGUUAGCGUUCUUGAAUACUUUUUCAUACAAAAUUCAAGAAAAGGAAGAAUGAAAUCCCUACAUUCGUAUCGGUUAAUAGAUUAUUUCAACAAUUCUUGAUAGAUAGAUAUACAAUGAUAGAAUCUUCUUGAUCGUUAUUUUAUAGGCUCCAUCAACCACACUUGAGAGCAGAAUUCUAUAAGAGAUUACAAGUUGUUUUGCAGGGAGACACUCCACCUUCUUCUCAAGGACAAAGAGUAAUAUCUUCUUCUUUCACUGGAGGUACACGUUACAUGUUGCAAAAAUAUCAAGAUGCAAUGACAAUAUGCAAAUGGGCUGGAUAUCCUGAUCUAUUUAUUAUAUUUACUUGCAAUUCUAAAUAGCAUGAGAUCACUAGAUUUGUGAAAAUUAGGGGAUUGGCUCCAGAAGAUCGGCCAAACAUUGUAACGAGGGUCUUUAAAGUCAAUUAGAUCACCUAAUUAAGGAUUUGCAAGACAAAAAAGUUUUUGGACAAGUAAAAGCAGGAAAACUUUAUACUUGGAAGACUCUAUCAGCUGCCAUAAGGUCUAUUUUAACAGCUGCAUCUAGCGAGAUUGCAUAACUUCUAUUACGGUAUUACCAGAUGGACGAACAACAUAUUCAAGAUUUGUUAUCUCGUUAAAUAUAAUUGAAGACUCAACAUGCAAUUUAAAACAAGUUAUUCCUUUAGCACAUUUGCAAAUCAAGACUAAGUUGAUUAUCUGGGAUGAGGCUCCUAUGAUGCAUCGACAUUAUUUUGAAGUUCUUGAUAAGGCUUUAAGAGAUAUUAUUGGCUACAAAGAUGAAUCCAACUCAGAAUUACCAUUUGGUGGUAAAACAAUUGUUAUUGAAGGUGACUACAGAAAAAUUCUUCCUGUGAUCCCUAAAGGGAGUCGACAAGAUAUUGUAAAUGCAACUCAACUCUUCAUAUUUAUGGCUCCAUUGUGAAUUAUUAACACUGACAAAGAAUAUGAGAUUGCAAAACAGUGACACUGCUUCUGAUCUAAAAGAGUUGAAAGAGUUUAUGAUUGGAUAUUGACAGUUGCGGAUGGUAGUAUUGGUAAUUCAUUUGAUGAAAUUGAUACAGUUUUAAUAGCAAAGGAUCUUCUAAUAACUGAGUGUACUGAUCCAACAGCAGCUAUUGUGGAAAGUAUGUAUCCAGAUUUUAGUACUAAUUGUAAUGAUGUUGGGUACCUACAGCAAAGAGUCAUUCUUGCUCUGACUCUUGAUAUGGUAGAAUCAAUCAAUCAAUCAUUAUAUGAUCUCUUUGAAUCAUAAUCCUGAGAAAUCAUAUUUGAGUUCUGACAAAAUAUGCAAGUCUGUCAUACUUAUUCAGCUUUAGAACAUGUACAUACCCCAGAAUUUUUUAACACUAUUAAAUGUUCUGGAGUUUCAAAUUA
Long non-coding RNA from Solanum pennellii, 1722 nucleotides. RefSeq lists it as uncharacterized. The record is from RefSeq and is a predicted model, not a curated record. The transcript is spliced from 2 exons. NCBI's taxonomy places the organism in Eukaryota, Viridiplantae, Streptophyta, Magnoliopsida, Solanales, Solanaceae.